GGCGAACAGAUGGCAGCUCCCGGCGGCACUGCUCCUCCGGCCAGCUGCGCAACUCCUCCAGGGUGCUCUAGCCUUCCUCGGACAUGCGGCCACCUGAGACGCCAACUUCAAACCACUCUCACCUCAGCCAGGACCGGAAGUCCAGCCAUCCCGGCAAGCCUUGCGAGACCUCAUCUGGACUGAAUCCUAGAGAGGACGCGGCCUAGGCUCCAUGGCGGCCAAGAGGGAAACCGGGCCUAUCUGGUUCCCGGGAGGAAUCCACUCAGUGAUGCGCACUUCCUGAAGCAGAGGACUUCAGAACUCUCCAGACCACUUGCCUCCCAAGCCUGGGUUGCUGCAGACUUUCCAUUAUCUGGCGCUUGGGGAAGUGUAUAUGAGUACCAGUUGCUCCAUAUCCUUGCCAGAACUUGAAACGAGGUGUCCUCCUACUGAAAUGGUGUGACAUUUUUUCAUGGAAAAAUAAUCUUCUAUUUAAUGAUGCCAUCAUCACCACCAUCAUCACCAUCACCAUCAUCUCCAUCAUCAUCACCAUCACCAUCAUCACCCACAUCAUCAUCACCAUCAUCUUCAUCAUUACCAUCAUCAUCACCAUCACCAUCAUCAUAUUCAUCAUCAUCGACAUCAUCACCAUCAUCACCAUCACCACCAUCAUCUUCAUCAUCACCAUCAUCAUCACCAUCACCAUCAUCAUCACCAUCACCAUCAUCAUCACCAUCACCAUCAUCUUCAUCAUCAGCAUCAUCAUCAUCAUCACCAUCAUCAUCAUCACCAUCUUCAUCAUCAUCACCAUCACCUUCAUCAUCAUCACCAUCACCAUCAUCAUCUUCAUCAUCACCAUCACCAUCAUCAUCUUCAUCAUCAUCAUCACCAUCAUCAUCUCACCAUCACCAUCAUCACCAUCAUCUUCAUCACCAUCAUCACCAUCAUCACCAUCAUCACCAUCAUCAACAUCAUCAUCAUCACCAUCAUCAUCAUCAUCAUCACUGUUAUAACAACUACUAUACACCAGGCAUUAUUAUGGAUUAUCAUCACCUAUCUUCAUAAUAACAUCAUUACUCCUAUUUUACCAUGAAGGACACCAAGGUGCCUGUCCAAGGGUGGGAGCCCAGGAAUGGCUCACCCCACAAGCCUAACUUGACCUUCUGUCCUGUGCUCUCUCCAGGACCAUCUCAAAGCCAGGCAACAUAUGGCAAGUGUUGUAAGCAUGAUACCCCAAGGUGGUUUAAUGAAUACCCCGGAGAAAGAACUCACAUUUAUUGGUAGGUACUGCACACCAUGAUGCAUGUGCUUUUAAAGUUUAAACUUCACCUUUAGUAAGGUCUAUAUUAUCAUCCCACUCCACCUUCAGUGUCCUCAUGUACCAAGAAGGGAGAGCAAAAUUCCCCAUUUCACAGGGUGAGCAUGAUGGAAUAAAGUAGAAAAUGUAAAGUAACACACAGGGCUUGGCAGUAGUGCUCAUUAAAUGUUAGCUACUAUUAUUUUCUCCAUCAUUUAAAAAAUUUUUGUCAAAAAUUAUACAUUUAUGAUAUAUGCUAUGAUGUUUUGAUAUAUGUGCAGAUUGUGGAAUGGAUAAGUAAGCUAUUUAGCAUAGUUUACUCCCUCUUAUACUUUUUUGUGGUGAGAACUUUUAAAAUGUAUUGUCUUGGCAAAUUUCAUGGGUACAAUGUAUUCUUAUUUAAAGCUGAGAAAUCUGAG
Molecule: long non-coding RNA, 1695 nt
Filed under: Heterocephalus glaber (naked mole-rat)
Lineage: Eukaryota; Metazoa; Chordata; Mammalia; Rodentia; Bathyergidae
Description: lncRNA (ENSHGLG00100042348.1)
Source: RNAcentral